Molecule: long non-coding RNA, 891 nt
Organism: Symphalangus syndactylus (siamang)
Lineage: Eukaryota; Metazoa; Chordata; Mammalia; Primates; Hylobatidae
Source: RefSeq, a predicted model, not a curated record
CUUGAUGCUGCCACAAAGAGAAGAGAAUGAAUAAAGUUGUCGGCUUUGUAAGAGCCAGACCAACAGAGAUACCCAGCACUAAUCAACUUUGUGGCAAAUCCCUCCAUGGCCUAAGAAGGAUCCCUAGCAGCAAUCCUCAAGAGCCUCAGCAGAUUGGAGAGAUGCCUCUUUGAUUCCAUCCCAGAGCUAAAGAUUGGAACAACUGUCCCUCCCCCUCUAAACCCACAGUCUGCCACAAGAACAUUUUAAACCUUCCUCCAUCAUGGGGAGCAAAACUUCCUGACUGGUCCUCCAGAUCCUUCUCAAGCACAGAAUAGAGAGAGCAUGAUGGUGAGUGAGCAUACUGUCCUUCCUGCAGGUCCUCAGUUCCACCACACUCUCCUAAGAGAAGGAAGAAGCCAGGCCUUAACGCUGUACCUCUCUCUGGAGGCAGCAGGCACAAGUGGAAUGGAAGUGAUUGAAAAUCCUGCUUUUAUGCAAAUUGUAACUAUAAACUCAUUAUAGUCAAUAUGAACAUCGUAUGGCUAAAGAGUAUCUUCAGCCAGGCACGGUGGCUCACGCCUGUAAUCCCAACACUUUGGGAGGCCGAGGUGGGCGAAUUACCUGAUCUCAGGAGUUCAAGACCAGCGUGGCCAACAUGGCGAAACCCCAUCUCUACUAAAAUACAAAAAUUAGCCAGGCGUGGUGGUGCAAGUCUGUAAUCCCAACUACUCGGGAGGCUGAGGCAGGAGAAUCGCUUGAACCUGGGAGGCUUGCAGUGAGCCGAAAUCACGCCACUGCACUCCAGCCUGGGUGACAGAGCGAGACUAAAAACAAUAUCCCCAUGGUUGUCAGAAAAAAGCUUUUGUGAGACCAGCCUGGGCAACUAAAAUACAAAAAUACAAAAAAUAA